UGCUUUGCCGACACGGAAGGCCGCGUCCACCGUUGCUGUUUAAACGAUCAAAUUUUCCUAAAAUACUGCCGCGUACAGUCCAACGGACCGCACCGGGAAACGAGGCCGAUCAGCUGGAGUAAGGAAGAAACCACCGGAUGACCGGUGUAGAGGUGCAUAUGACAAGGCAGUUCUUAAUAAUGGAGAUUUUGCAAGCUAGAGAGUUCAAAGAAGGAAGUCCAGGAUCUGACCUGCCCGGCUCAAACUACAAGUCCCAGCAUGCCCUGCCCGUCAUGCAGCCUGUUCGGCCUUCCUCCCCCUCCUCCUCUUCCUCCCCCUCCCCCUCC
Molecule: long non-coding RNA, 326 nt
Organism: Osmerus eperlanus (European smelt)
Lineage: Eukaryota; Metazoa; Chordata; Actinopteri; Osmeriformes; Osmeridae
Exons: 3
Source: RefSeq, a predicted model, not a curated record